AAAUAUCAAAACAACUAUGCCUUGUUUCUCAAGUACCCGUAUCUUCUGUCCAUUCUCUUCUCUUGUUCCUUUGCUCUCUUCUCAUUUUAUCGCCUGAUGAAACCAUCAAAGAACAAACCCUAUACAUCUACUGAAACCAUUAAAGAACAAAAAUAAUUCUCUAUCUGUGAUUCUCUAUAAACCCUUGCAUCUACUACAAUCCAGUAAACCAAAUCAAUCUCUUCUUCUAACAUAUCCAUUCUAGGUCGUCUUCUUAUUUUAAGGGUUUUGUAGUGAACAACUUAUCUUCAAUUGGUCGGGUGGUGAUGUCAAUUUUCUUGAUAUUGUUCGAGGUGAUCCCGGUGGUUAUGUCGUAACAGUUAAAAUGAUUAAAAGUAUAUACAGAUGAUUACUUCAUCUGAUUUCAAUUUCUCCCAUUAAGGUUUCCGUAAGGUUUAGAUACGUGGAUCUGACUUUUUUUGAUUGAUUUAAAUUGUUUAUAGUAGUCAUUCAAUUUUAGUAUGGGUUUUUCAUUUUUUGUCAGUUGUUGGUUUUAUUAGAAUGGUUAGGUUAGGAUUUUGGGUGAAAUAGAUAUAAUUGCUUUCUUUUUCUGGAUUUGUUUUUUAUUUAUAAUUUUGGGUUGGGUUGUAAAUCAUGAGUUUAACAUCUUUAGAACAUUGUAAGGAAUAUGGAAGUUUGAUGCUUGAUCUAAUAAGAAUUCUGGAUUUAUUGGUUAAAUCCAAAUUUGGUUAUGAGGUCAAUUAUCCUAAUAGCUAUAACUGAAGAAUAGAUGAUGAUUAACAUUUGUAUGUAUGAUGAUAUCUUAUUCAAAAAUGGGAAGAAUGCUAGCCCAGAUUGAAUCAACCCUCUGAAGCUUCUCUAUUGAGAAUAUCUUCUAUUGAAAAGCGUGUAAGUUUUCCUUUUGAUCAGUUGCUCAAGUUGUACUGGGAAUUUCAUGGGGCACUUUAUCUAUGGGAAGUAUUUAGAAAGAGAAUUGUUCAUGUUUAAUGCCUCCUCCAUGUUCAUGUAAGCACCCGUGGUAACUCUAAUUCUGGUAUUUGUAGGUACUUUCCUGGGAAGUGAAGAGUGUUUACUUUAAGUGUUAAGAUCUGAAGUGUUUGAUCUUCUUUUCUAUUUCUCUGGGUGUUUUUGAAAUUUUCUUGUUUGUGUAAACUUUCUAAUACGUUCCCCUUUUGAUCUGUUAUAGGUAACAGUUUCUGAGCUGAAGUAGUGAUGAUUGAUCAACUUGCUGCUGUAGAAUCUUCUGUUGUGAUGGAUAAGGGAGGAUAAGGUUACUCGCAUAUAUACUUUAUGGCAUGCUUGUUGUGUUUGUAGAAAAUUUCCAUUAACAUUGGUCAUUGUAUACAAAAACUGUAGCUAUUACAUUUGUGUGCUAUUUGAGGCGAUUGCAUUUGACACUUACAUUUGCAGUCACCUUGUUCAAACUUACGUUCAAUCUGACCGAGAAUUUCAAAUAAGUGAACUAAGUAGCCUUUAUUAUUCAGUUUUGCAAGUUUUCUUUCAUUGUACAAGAACCAACGGCUACAUGAUACAUUAUGCCCACCUUUUGUGUUGUUCAGGUGAUGCUUUUCCUAGUUAAAUUUCCAUGCCGGUGUAGCUAAAUUCAAGACUCUAAAGAUGCAUUGAUAUCAAUUAUGACCUUUAUAUCAGUUCCUAAUAAUUAGCGAUUGAAAGAAUUACUCAUUCAUUUGUACUUGCCAUGUAAUUUCUUAUAAAUUCACGACACUUUUGAGUUGAAUUGUCGAUCUUGGUGUUAUAUGUCUUAUUAUUUGGUAUUUAAUUGGGGUUGUUUUGACCCCACAGAUUUGAAUACGACAUUUCAGAAAUUGAUGAAAGAGCACUACAUGGAGAACUACAGCUUCCAAAAAUUGAUGGAAGAGCACUACAUGGAGAACUACAGCUAAUUCUUCUGUUUGGAGAGUUGGAGGUGGCUCUAGUUUCCAGGAUAUCGAGUUUAUGCCAUUUAUUGCACUAUGUUGCUCAUUUUGUUACUUUUAUAGGUUCAAGUCCAUUGCCAGCAUUAACAGUUGCCUCGAUAAUUGAUUUCACAUUUAACUAUGGCAAAGGAAGUGCUUGUUCUACAUGUUAUGAGAUUCCUUGCACAUUGGCUUCUGUCAAUUCCCUUGAAAUGUACACACAACUUUCCAGCGAUCCUCUUUGCAAAACUUGCGAACCUUGCAUUUUGUCCGUUGAUAUAAAUCCAUCAAAGAACGGUUCUCUUGCUUGUUGCACUCUCAAUCAUCACUGACUUCUGAAAGGGAUCAUAAAAUGCAAUAGCAAGCUAAUUGACCUAUUAGUUUCUGACAUGAAACCAAAUGCGAAAGCUUCCUAUUUCAAGUGUUGCAGAGUCCUCUUAUUUAAAGACACCACCUGACAAGUGCUGGAACUAUGGAGAAGCAUUAUGGUGAUGUUAGAUUUCACUCAUGUUGCCUUGGUAGUUUUUCUAUAGUGAUUUGCUUUUUAGAUUUCUGUAUGUUUCGUAAAUUAUUUUCAGAUUCAGAACUGAUUAUAGUUUGUUAUUGUAAAAUGAAAUCCAUGUGUUUAGUGAAUUUUUGGCAGAUUUAGAACCUGAGUAAUUGUAGUUUGUUGGGGUUGUAUAAUGAAUUUAGUGAAUAUAAGUUUAAUUCAGUUUGA
Papaver somniferum (opium poppy) is the source of this 2634-nucleotide long non-coding RNA. RefSeq lists it as uncharacterized. The record is from RefSeq and is a predicted model, not a curated record. The transcript has 7 exons. Lineage: Eukaryota; Viridiplantae; Streptophyta; Magnoliopsida; Ranunculales; Papaveraceae.